Molecule: ribosomal RNA, 293 nt
Filed under: uncultured bacterium
Lineage: Bacteria
Description: partial 16S ribosomal RNA
Rfam family: Bacterial small subunit ribosomal RNA
Source: RNAcentral
GUGCCAGCCGCCGCGGUAAUACGAAGGGGGCUAGCGUUGCUCGGAAUCACUGGGCGUAAAGGGUGCGUAGGCGGGUUUCUAAGUCAGAGGUGAAAGCCUGGAGCUCAACUCCAGAACUGCCUUUGAUACUGGAAGUCUUGAGUAUGGCAGAGGUGAGUGGAACUGCGAGUGUAGAGGUGAAAUUCGUAGAUAUUCGCAAGAACACCAGUGGCGAAGGCGGCUCACUGGGCCAUUACUGACGCUGAGGCACGAAAGCGUGGGGAGCAAACAGGAUUAGAAACCCGGGUAGUCCA